GACGAACGCUGGCGGCGUGCCUAAUACAUGCAAGUUGAGCGAUGAAGAUUGGUGCUUGCACCAAUUUGAAGAGCAGCGAACGGGUGAGUAACGCGUGGGGAAUCUGCCUUUGAGCGGGGGACAACAUUUGGAAACGAAUGCUAAUACCGCAUAACAACUUUAAACAUAAGUUUUAAGUUUGAAAGAUGCAAUUGCAUCACUCAAAGAUGAUCCCGCGUUGUAUUAGCUAGUUGGUGAGGUAAAGGCUCACCAAGGCGAUGAUACAUAGCCGACCUGAGAGGGUGAUCGGCCACAUUGGGACUGAGACACGGCCCAAACUCCUACGGGAGGCAGCAGUAGGGAAUCUUCGGCAAUAGACGAAAGUCUGACCGAGCAACGCCGCGUGAGGGAAGAAGGUUUUCGGAUCGUAAAACUCUGUUGGUAGAGAAGGACGUUGGUGAGAGUGGAAAGCUCAUCAAGUGACGGUAACUACCCAGAAAGGGACGGCUAACUACGUG
Molecule: ribosomal RNA, 497 nt
Filed under: uncultured bacterium
Lineage: Bacteria
Description: partial 16S ribosomal RNA
Rfam family: Bacterial small subunit ribosomal RNA
Source: RNAcentral